This 309-nucleotide long non-coding RNA is filed under the name Malus domestica (apple). RNAcentral's name for it is "long non-coding RNA (MDOM_LNC018442)". The record is from RNAcentral. Lineage: Eukaryota; Viridiplantae; Streptophyta; Magnoliopsida; Rosales; Rosaceae.
AUUUGCACUAUUUAAGCAUUCAUGAGAUAAAACGAGCGUGCGUUGGAUACACUUUGGAACUUAGGCAAAGAAACACAUAUAAUACGUUAAUAUGACGUUAAGAAUGAGAUCUCAAAAGGUCAAAUGCUUAUUUGGUAUCAAAAGUACACUAUUUGGAGUGUAUUUGCACUAUUUUAAGCAUUCAUGAGAUAAAACGAGCGUGCGUUGGAUACGCUUUGGAACUUAAGCAAAUAAACACAUAUAAUACACUAAUGGGACGCUAUUAAUGAGUUCUGAUAAGAUGAAAUGCUUAGUUGGUUUCAAAAGUAC